Molecule: ribosomal RNA, 251 nt
Filed under: uncultured prokaryote
Description: partial 16S rRNA
Rfam family: Bacterial small subunit ribosomal RNA
Source: RNAcentral
ACGUAGGGUGCAAGCGUUAUCCGGAAUUAUUGGGCGUAAAGAGCUCGUAGGCGGUUUGUCGCGUCUGUCGUGAAAGUCCAGGGCUCAACUCCGGAUCUGCGGUGGAAACGGGUAGACUAGAGUGAUGUAGGGGAGGAUGGAAUUCCUGGUGUAGCGGUGGAAUGCGCAGAUAUCAGGAGGAACACCGAUUGCGAAGGCAGGUCACUGGACAAUAACUGACGCUGAGGUGCGAAAGCGUGGGGAGCAAACAG